This 503-nucleotide ribosomal RNA is filed under the name uncultured bacterium. RNAcentral's name for it is "partial 16S ribosomal RNA". It matches the Rfam family "Bacterial small subunit ribosomal RNA", at positions 30 to 523 of the family's 1533-position model. The record is from RNAcentral.
AUUGAACGCUGGCGGCAGGCUUAACACAUGCAAGUCGAGCGGGGUGAUGGUGCUUGCACUAUCACUUAGCGGCGGACGGGUGAGUAAUGCUUAGGAAUCUGCCUAUUAGUGGGGGACAACAUCUCGAAAGGGAUGCUAAUACCGCAUACGUCCUACGGGAGAAAGCAGGGGAUCACUUGUGACCUUGCGCUAAUAGAUGAGCCUAAGUCGGAUUAGCUAGUUGGUGGGGUAAAGGCCUACCAAGGCGACGAUCUGUAGCGGGUCUGAGAGGAUGAUCCGCCACACUGGGACUGAGACGCUGCCCAGACUCCUACGGGAGGCAGCAGUGGGGAAUAUUGGACAAUGGGGGGAACCCUGAUCCAGCCAUGCCGCGUGUGUGAAGAAGGCCUUAUGGUUGUAAAGCACUUUAAGCGAGGAGGAGGCUCUUUUGGUUAAUACCCAAGAUGAGUGGACGUUACUCGCAGAAUAAGCACCGGCUAACUCUGUGCCAGCCGCCGCAGUAA